GUCCAAGGUUCUAGUCGGGGCAAAUUUUAGACCUUUUCAAAGUAUUUUUUGUUGGGGUAUGGAUAGUGUUCUACUUGUUAAAUUAAAUAUGUCGGUCUGAUUUACUGUCUGUCUUUCUUUCCUCUUUUGUACACAAAUUCCUCCUCUAAUUCCCCUUCUUCUAAUGGUCUCCUCCGUUUGCCUGGUGAUUUUGGUGAUGUAUGGGGUACUUUGUGCCUCUCUCUCUCUUUUAGUUCCUAAAAAUCCUCUUGUCUAGAGUCUCGAUCUAAAUGGGAGUAUUUGUUAUACGAUAAAACACUGUCAUCUA
Molecule: non-coding RNA, 307 nt
Organism: Pelobates cultripes (western spadefoot toad)
Lineage: Eukaryota; Metazoa; Chordata; Amphibia; Anura; Pelobatidae
Source: the annotation of a GenBank genome assembly